This is a long non-coding RNA of Andrographis paniculata, 456 nucleotides long. RefSeq lists it as uncharacterized. The record is from RefSeq and is a predicted model, not a curated record. The transcript has 3 exons. Lineage: Eukaryota; Viridiplantae; Streptophyta; Magnoliopsida; Lamiales; Acanthaceae.
GUCCCCCAAAAUCAAAAUAAACAUAUAAAAUAACAUUAAUAAUAAUAAUAAUAAUAAUAUGGAUAGCAAGAGCACUCAGCAACAGGCAGCAGCAGCAGGGCAGGCCAAGGGACGAGGCCAGCCACAUAUUGAUAUUCAGCCGCAAGAGAAGGAUACCCAAAAGACUAGUCCUCCUGCUGCAAAAGAUGAUCAAUCUGAACAGCAGGGUGUAGGGCAAGGUCAAGGGCAAGCGCAAAGACAAGGGCAGCCGAAGUUCACAAAUGCACAAAUUGGGCUGUGAGGAGCGAUAUCCGACUCGGACCCAAUAUGAUUGAGACUCUUGAAUAAAUAAAGUAGAUGAAUCAAGAUCUUACCGUACGUUGAUAUCAGCUCAUCCCUCUGUGUAAUAUAUAUCUAGUUGAAUUUGGAUUACAUAUAUGAACAAAUAAAUUUGGAGUAAUUAAUAAAUAGAUUAAA